Molecule: long non-coding RNA, 588 nt
Filed under: Elaeis guineensis (African oil palm)
Lineage: Eukaryota; Viridiplantae; Streptophyta; Magnoliopsida; Arecales; Arecaceae
Description: long non-coding RNA (EGUI_LNC034503)
Source: RNAcentral
UGCUUUAUACUUGUUCAUUUGUUAGUUAUGUUUGAUCUUUUAUCAUAGUCAAUUAACUCACCUCACUCAUCAAGUUGAGCACAUUUCAUAUGAGCACUAAUUAUUAAAAAUUUUAAGAGACCCAAAUCACCCUCCCUCCUCUUGAGCUCCAUAUCUGGGCAACAACAAGACUCGAAAUCAGAUUCAAAAAGUGACACUUUGUAUUUAUGAAAAAAGAUAUUUCAUUAAAUAGAAUUUUCUUUACAAGUUUCAUUUGAUUACAUCUUUUAAAAAGAAAAAUAAAAUACAAAGCGAUACGAAGUCCCUACGAGAGGUCUCAUCGUCUCCUGCACCCCCUAUAUAUUCCUAAUGAUCUUCCUCAACUUCUAAGGCCUCUGGGAUGAUUGGGCUGCUUUCCUGAAUCCUUAGGAGCUUCAAUCUUUAGUUGCUCUACAUCACCUUGGCUCCCUGAUGUCCCUCCUGAAGCCAUGGCCACAUCAAGAGUAGUCGUAGUGAUCUUGACGUAUGUGUCCGAAGAAGCACCCCACAUCUCCUGGCAUAACUCCUCGGCAUCAAUGUUUGUCAAUAUUCAGAAACAUGGCAUUGAUG